ACAAAAACAAUUUAUCCUUUCACUAUGUCAUAUCUGAAAUUAAUCUAACUAUCAUCACCAAAAAUACAAAUUCAAAUAUCACAAAACUUUCAACCUAAUUUGAAAUAACCGCAUCUACUAACAAAUCCACAUCAAGAUUAAAGAUAAAUCAACAUUUAGAACCUAACCUGAGUCGAUUCAUCACAAAACACAUGCGAAAAUCCUUCGAAAAGAUCAAAAUAUAACAGAACAAAGUAAAAUCAAAACUACAAAAACAAUUUAUCCUUUCACUAUCCCGAAAAAUGAAAAAAUAUAUCAAAACAUCCCACAGAACAAACUAAAAUAAAAAGUACAUAACAAUCUAUCUUUUCACUAUUCCAUAUCUAAAAUUGACCUAACUAUCAUAAUUUUCAUUGAACUACAACACUUAUCAUCCCCAAAAAUGACCUAAAUAUCAUAAUUAUCACACAACCAU
This 454-nucleotide long non-coding RNA is filed under the name Helianthus annuus (common sunflower). RNAcentral describes it as "sRNA HanXRQr2_Chr09g0403241". The record is from RNAcentral. Lineage: Eukaryota; Viridiplantae; Streptophyta; Magnoliopsida; Asterales; Asteraceae.